RNAcentral lists this long non-coding RNA (300 nucleotides) under Cyanistes caeruleus (blue tit). Its description in RNAcentral is "lncRNA (ENSCCEG00000014659.1)". The record is from RNAcentral. Lineage: Eukaryota; Metazoa; Chordata; Aves; Passeriformes; Paridae.
CUCAGAAGGAUCUGGAAUGAGGUCCAAGAGGGGUCUGCCUUCACUCCUUGGCCCUGAGCUGCCCUGAGGUGAAGAAGGUUCAUCAACAGCCCAUCCAGCUGUGUCAACAUCAGCUGACCUGGGAAGAAAGGUACCUCCAGUUCUACCCAGUGCCUCUGGACAGAGAUGAUCUUGUUCCUGCCAAUAGGUCACCAGAGGAGUGGGGCUCUCAAGAAGAAGUUAGGACAAACCACAGCUGAUCUGGCAUAGCACUGGCCUGCUCUGAGCAGAUUGGACUAGAAAUCUUCAGUGGUCACUCCC